UGAGCAACCUGCCCUUGACCCCGGAAUAACAGUUAGAAACAGCUGCUAAUACCGGAUACGACCUCUUCCGACAUCUGGAGAGGUGGAAAGCCCUGGCGGUCAAGGAUGGGCUCGCGGCCUAUCAGCUUGUUGGUGAGGUAACGGCUCACCAAGGCUUCGACGGGUAGCCGGCUGAGAGGGCGACCGGCCACACUGGGACUGAGACACGGCCCAGACCUCCGUACGGGGAGGCAGNAGGUAGGGG
This 244-nucleotide ribosomal RNA is filed under the name uncultured bacterium. RNAcentral's name for it is "partial 16S ribosomal RNA". It matches the Rfam family "Bacterial small subunit ribosomal RNA", at positions 118 to 354 of the family's 1533-position model. The record is from RNAcentral.